Molecule: small nucleolar RNA, 81 nt
Filed under: Catharus ustulatus (Swainson's thrush)
Lineage: Eukaryota; Metazoa; Chordata; Aves; Passeriformes; Turdidae
Also listed under: 1 other name
Description: Small nucleolar RNA SNORD72 (ENSCUSG00005014227.1)
Rfam family: Small nucleolar RNA SNORD72
About the family: snoRNA HBII-240 belongs to the CD family of snoRNAs. It is the human orthologue of the mouse MBII-240 and is predicted to guide 2'O-ribose methylation of the large 28S rRNA at residue U4590.
Source: Rfam by way of RNAcentral
AGUUUGUGAAGUAUGUUUCUUAAGAAAAAUCUCUGAACAUAUGAACUCCAUAGUGAUUUCAGUGCAUUACUGAGGGAAGCU